GUGUCAGCCGCCGCGGUAAUACCAGCUCUCCGAGUGGUGUGGAUGUUUAUUGGGCCUAAAGCAUCCGUAGCUGGCCAGGCCAGUCCCCUGUUAAACCCACCGAAUUAAUCGUUGGAUCGCGGGGGAUACUGCCCGGCUAGGGGACGAGAGAGGCAGACGGUAUUUUCGGGGUAGGGGUGAAAUCCUAUAAUCCCGGGAAGACCACCAGUGGCGAAGGCUGUCUGCUAGAACGCGCCCGACGGUGAGGGAUGAAAGCUAGGGGAGCAAACCGGAUUAGAAACCCCGGUAGUCC
RNAcentral lists this ribosomal RNA (292 nucleotides) under uncultured bacterium. RNAcentral's name for it is "partial 16S ribosomal RNA". It matches the Rfam family "Archaeal small subunit ribosomal RNA", at positions 455 to 747 of the family's 1478-position model. The record is from RNAcentral.